This 375-nucleotide long non-coding RNA is filed under the name Spirodela polyrhiza (greater duckweed). Its description in RNAcentral is "long non-coding RNA (SPOL_LNC000912)". Lineage: Eukaryota; Viridiplantae; Streptophyta; Magnoliopsida; Alismatales; Araceae. The record is from RNAcentral.
UGUGUGUAAAAUAUUGAGGCCACCAAAAAUUGACAGAGUAAAAAAAUGAGAAAAUGGACAAUUUAAGAGAGUUGACAUAGCUUGAGUGAAAAACUCAUCCCUGAAUCUACAAAAAUGAGAUUUAUAUAAAGAUUCUUCGCCCUAAAUCCACAUAAUGAAGAAACCCUUGGACCAUUGAAUCUACUAAGACUUGAUGUUGAGUCCACAUUAUCAAAAAGAGCUCUCUAAAUCUGCAAGAUUGUUGAAACUAGUAGAGAAGAACCUCAAAAAGAGGGAAAAGUUCGUAGAAUAGAUUGAAAUGUCUCUAGAACUACAAGAGGGCAUUUACAUAAGGCAAAAUAUAUUUAAAAUAUCCCAAGAAAAUAACGGUUUUGC